RNAcentral lists this unclassified non-coding RNA (146 nucleotides) under uncultured Amphisphaeriaceae. Its description in RNAcentral is "sequence contains ITS1". The record is from RNAcentral. Lineage: Eukaryota; Fungi; Ascomycota; Sordariomycetes; Amphisphaeriales; Amphisphaeriaceae.
UAGAGUUUUUAACUCCCAAACCCAUGUGAACUUACCUUUGUUGCCUCGGCGGAGCCUACCCGGUACCUACCCUGUAGCGCCCCGCCGGUGGAUUUAUAAACUAUUGUUAUUUUAAUGAUAUCUGAGAGUCUUAUUUUAAUAAGUCA